RNAcentral lists this ribosomal RNA (253 nucleotides) under uncultured bacterium. Its description in RNAcentral is "partial 16S ribosomal RNA". It matches the Rfam family "Bacterial small subunit ribosomal RNA", at positions 524 to 776 of the family's 1533-position model. The record is from RNAcentral.
GACGAACCGUGCGAACGUUGUUCGGAAUCACUGGGCUUAAAGGGCGCGUAGGCGGGCUCGCAAGUCAGGGGUGAAAGCCCACGGCUCAACCGUGGAAGUGCCUUUGAUACUGCGGGUCUGGAGGGAGGUAGGGGCGUGCGGAACUUCCGGUGGAGCGGUGAAAUGCGUAGAUAUCGGAAGGAACACCGGUGGCGAAAGCGGCGCGCUGGACCUCUUCUGACGCUGAGGCGCGAAAGCCAGGGGAGCAAACGGG